RNAcentral lists this ribosomal RNA (236 nucleotides) under uncultured Glomus. RNAcentral describes it as "partial 18S ribosomal RNA". It matches the Rfam family "Eukaryotic small subunit ribosomal RNA", at positions 548 to 785 of the family's 1831-position model. Lineage: Eukaryota; Fungi; Glomeromycota; Glomeromycetes; Glomerales; Glomeraceae. The record is from RNAcentral.
UUGGAGGGCAAGUCUGGUGCCAGCAGCCGCGGUAAUUCCAGCUCCAAUAGCGUAUAUUAAAGUUGUUGCAGUUAAAAAGCUCGUAGUUGAAUUUCGGGAUCAAUUUUGUCGGUCGUGCCCUUUGGUACGUACUGGUAUUAUUGGUUUCUAUCUUCUGAAGAACCUUGAUGUCGUUAAUUUGAUGUAUUGGGAAAUCAGGACUGUUACCUUGAAAAAAUUAGAGUGUUAAAGCAGGC